AAUAUUAGACAAUGGGGGCAACCCUGAUCCAGCCAUGCCGCGUGUGUGAAGACGGACUUCGGAUUGUCAAGCACUGUAAGCUGGGAGGCGGGGCUUCAGGCUAAUACCCUGAAGUUUUGACGUUACCCACAGAGUAAGCACCGGUUAACCCUGUGCACGCAGCCGCGGUAAUACAGAGGGUGCAAGCGUUAAUCGGAAUUCCUGGGCGUAAAGCGCGCGUAGGUGGUUCAGUAAGAUGGGUGUGAAAUCCCCGGGCUUAACCUGGGAACUGCUUUCAUAACUGCUGAGCUAGAGUACGGUAGAGGGUAGUGGAAUUUCCUGAGUAGCGGUGAAAUGCGUAGAUAUAGGAAGGAACACCAGUGGCGAAGGCGACUACCUGGACUGAUACUGACACUGAGGUGCGAAAGCGUGGGGAGCAAACA
Molecule: ribosomal RNA, 422 nt
Filed under: uncultured bacterium
Lineage: Bacteria
Description: partial 16S ribosomal RNA
Rfam family: Bacterial small subunit ribosomal RNA
Source: RNAcentral